AGGGGUGUCGUACAAUGGCAGUACAUCGGUCUCCAAAACCGCUGAUGGGAGUUCGAUUCUCUCCACCCCUGCCA
Molecule: transfer RNA, 74 nt
Filed under: Erysipelotrichaceae bacterium
Lineage: Bacteria; Bacillati; Bacillota; Erysipelotrichia; Erysipelotrichales; Erysipelotrichaceae
Also listed under: 2 other names
Description: tRNA-Trp
Rfam family: tRNA
About the family: Transfer RNA (tRNA) molecules are approximately 80 nucleotides in length. Their secondary structure includes four short double-helical elements and three loops (D, anti-codon, and T loops). Further hydrogen bonds mediate the characteristic L-shaped molecular structure. tRNAs have two regions of fundamental functional importance: the anti-codon, which is responsible for specific mRNA codon recognition, and the 3' end, to which the tRNAs corresponding amino acid is attached (by aminoacyl-tRNA synthetases). tRNAs cope with the degeneracy of the genetic code in two manners: having more than one tRNA (with a specific anti-codon) for a particular amino acid; and 'wobble' base-pairing, i.e. permitting non-standard base-pairing at the 3rd anti-codon position.
Source: RNAcentral